RNAcentral lists this ribosomal RNA (253 nucleotides) under uncultured bacterium. RNAcentral's name for it is "partial 16S ribosomal RNA". It matches the Rfam family "Bacterial small subunit ribosomal RNA", at positions 524 to 776 of the family's 1533-position model. The record is from RNAcentral.
UACGUAGGUGGCAAGCGUUGUCCGGAUUUACUGGGCGUAAAGAGCGCGCAGGCGGUCGUUCAAGUCGCGUGUGAAAGCCCCCGGCUCAACCGGGGAGGGUCACGCGAUACUGAUCGACUCGAAGGCAGGAGAGGGUAGUGGAAUUCCCGGUGUAGUGGUGAAAUGCGUAGAGAUCGGAAAGAACACCAACGGCGAAAGCACUCUGCUGGGCCGACACUGACACUGAGAGACGAAAGCGUGGGUAGCGAAUGGG